RNAcentral lists this ribosomal RNA (772 nucleotides) under uncultured Vagococcus sp. RNAcentral describes it as "bacterial SSU rRNA". It matches the Rfam family "Bacterial small subunit ribosomal RNA", at positions 28 to 776 of the family's 1533-position model. The record is from RNAcentral. Lineage: Bacteria; Bacillati; Bacillota; Bacilli; Lactobacillales; Enterococcaceae.
GACGAACGCUGGCGGCGUGCCUAAUACAUGCAAGUCGAACGCACGAAGUUGAAGAGCUUGCUCUUUAACCAAGUGAGUGGCGGACGGGUGAGUAACACGUGGGUAACCUGCCCAUUAGAGGGGGAUAACAUUCGGAAACGGAUGCUAAUACCGCAUAGUUUCAGGAAUCGCAUGAUUCUUGAAGGAAAGGUGGCUUCGGCUACCACUAAUGGAUGGACCCGCGGCGUAUUAGCUAGUUGGUGAGGUAAUGGCUCACCAAGGCAAUGAUACGUAGCCGACCUGAGAGGGUGAUCGGCCACACUGGGACUGAGACACGGCCCAGACUCCUACGGGAGGCAGCAGUAGGGAAUCUUCCGCAAUGGACGAAAGUCUGACGGAGCAACGCCGCGUGAGUGAAGAAGGUUUUCGGAUCGUAAAACUCUGUUGUUAAAGAAGAACAAGGAUGAGAGUAACUGCUCAUCCCCUGACGGUAUUUAACCAGAAAGCCACGGCUAACUACGUGCCAGCAGCCGCGGUAAUACGUAGGUGGCAAGCGUUGUCCGGAUUUAUUGGGCGUAAAGCGAGCGCAGGCGGUUCUUUAAGUCUGAUGUGAAAGCCCCCGGCUCAACCGGGGAGGGUCAUUGGAAACUGGAGAACUUGAGUGCAGAAGAGGAGAGUGGAAUUCCACGUGUAGCGGUGAAAUGCGUAGAUAUGUGGAGGAACACCAGUGGCGAAGGCGACUCUCUGGUCUGUAACUGACGCUGAGGCUCGAAAGCGUGGGGGAGCAAACAGG